GAUUUUAAUGGAGUGUUGGGCUUAGGUUUGGGUUGAAUCAGUUGGGCUUUUGUUUUAAUCUCUUUGGGCCGGUUUUUAUUUUAUUAAACAGUUGGGCCUUUAUUUUAUUUAUCAGUUGGGCUGAUUAGUUUAAUUCAGCUGGGCCUUAUUUUAAAUCCUAAUUGGGUCAGUUUUAUUUUAAAACUUUGGGCUGUCUUGAUUAAUUAAUUAAUUGGGCUGCUCUAUUUUAAUUAAUUGAACUAUUAAUUAGUUUAAUUAAUUAUUUUCAAAGACUAAUUUUCAUAAUAAUAUUAAAAUUAUUAUUAUGUGCAUAUUUUAAGUAAAUUACUUAUUAUAUGUUAAGCAAGACAUGAAAUUGCAUUAUAUUUUGCAAUAAGAGAAUUUAUGAUUUAAUUGGUUUUAAUUAUAAUUCCAAUUAUUAAAGAAAGUCGAGUAAGAAUAUUGUUGGUGUUCUUAACUCAAGAGAAAUGUUUUUAAUUAUUUAUUCAUUAAAUUUUAAAAACCCGGCUAAGUGAAUCAUAGAAUAUUAAGCACUACACCAUGACUUAAGAUUAGCUUCACGAGACCUAUUAAGAAUAGAAUUUCUUGUAGGCUUUGUGACCAGGGGGAUUAGCGCUGCUUUCCCAAGACAGGUUUUUAUGUGUAUGAUCUUCAGGCUUUGCCUAUCCAGGUUGGCUGGCCGGUGCUGACGGGACGGAGCUGAGGCUAGCGAUAAAUUCCUAUGUUAGACUUCCGCUGUAGCAAUUACUCAUAUCAGUCUUUUGUUUUCCCAACUUAAGAUCUUCAUGUUAAAUUUCAAAUGAUAUAUCUGACCGAGCUUAGACUCUUCACUACUUAAUUUAUGCCAAUGAAUGUCGGUUGUCAGAAGCAUGAAACAAAACUUGUGAUCCAAAGGGGCAUAGCCCGACUUUCUAUCAUAUUUCGGGUUUUUACAA
Molecule: long non-coding RNA, 935 nt
Organism: Salvia miltiorrhiza (redroot sage)
Lineage: Eukaryota; Viridiplantae; Streptophyta; Magnoliopsida; Lamiales; Lamiaceae
Exons: 2
Source: RefSeq, a predicted model, not a curated record